GCGAACGGGUGAGUAACACGUGGGCAAUCUGCCCUUCACUCUGGGACAAGCCCUGGAAACGGGGUCUAAUACCGGAUACUGACCGGCCUGGGCAUCCAGGCGGGUCGAAAGCUCCGGCGGUGAAGGAUGAGCCCGCGGCCUAUCAGCUUGUUGGUGAGGUAAUGGCUCACCAAGGCGACGACGGGUAGCCGGCCUGAGAGGGCGACCGGCCACACUGGGACUGAGACACGGCCCAGACUCCUACGGGAGGCAGCAGUGGGGAAUAUUGCACAAUGGGCGAAAGCCUGAUGCAGCGACGCCGCGUGAGGGAUGACGGCCUUCGGGUUGUAAACCUCUUUCAGCAGGGAAGAAGCGAAAGUGACGGUACCUGCAGAAGAAGCGCCGGCUAACUACGUGCCAGCAGCCGCGGUAAUACGUAGGGCGCAAGCGUUGUCCGGAAUUAUUGGGCGUAAAGAGCUCGUAGGCGGCUUGUCACGUCGGUUGUGAAAGCCCGGGGCUUAACCCCGGGUCUGCAGUCGAUACGGGCAGGCUAGAGUUCGGUAGGGGAGAUCGGAAUUCCUGGUGUAGCGGUGAAAUGCGCAGAUAUCAGGAGGAACACCGGUGGCGAAGGCGGAUCUCUGGGCCGAUACUGACGCUGAGGAGCGAAAGCGUGGGGAGCGAACAGGAUUAGAUACCCUGGUAGUCCA
RNAcentral lists this ribosomal RNA (686 nucleotides) under Streptomyces sp. CA_LC_8. RNAcentral's name for it is "bacterial SSU rRNA". It matches the Rfam family "Bacterial small subunit ribosomal RNA", at positions 98 to 797 of the family's 1533-position model. The record is from RNAcentral. Lineage: Bacteria; Bacillati; Actinomycetota; Actinomycetes; Kitasatosporales; Streptomycetaceae.